UACGGAGGGUGCGAGCGUUGUCCGGAAUCACUGGGCGUAAAGGGCGCGUAGGCGGCGCGGGCAGUCAACGGUGAAAGCUUGGGGCUCAACCCCGAGUCGGCCGUCGAUACUCCCGGGCUUGAGCACUGUAGAGGCAGGUGGAAUUCCCGGUGUAGCGGUGGAAUGCGUAGAGAUCGGGAAGAACAUCAGUGGCGAAGGCGGCCUGCUGGGCUGUUGCUGACGCUGAGGCGCGACAGCGUGGGGAGCAAACAGG
This 253-nucleotide ribosomal RNA is filed under the name uncultured bacterium. RNAcentral's name for it is "partial 16S ribosomal RNA". It matches the Rfam family "Bacterial small subunit ribosomal RNA", at positions 524 to 776 of the family's 1533-position model. The record is from RNAcentral.